This 814-nucleotide ribosomal RNA is filed under the name uncultured bacterium. Its description in RNAcentral is "bacterial SSU rRNA". It matches the Rfam family "Bacterial small subunit ribosomal RNA", at positions 8 to 848 of the family's 1533-position model. The record is from RNAcentral.
AGAGUUUGAUCCUGGCUCAGGAUGAACGCUGACAGAAUGCUUAACACAUGCAAGUCUACUUGAUCCUUCGGGUGAUGGUGGCGGACGGGUGAGUAACGCGUAAAGAACUUGCCUUGCAGUCUGGGACAACGUCUGGAAACGGACGCUAAUACCGGAUAUUAUGGUUGAAUCGCAUGAUUUGAUUAUGAAAGCUAUAUGCGCUGCGAGAGAGCUUUGCGUCCCAUUAGUUAGUUGGUGAGGUAACAGCUCACCAGGACGAUGAUGGGUAGCCGGCCUGAGAGGGUGAACGGCCACAAGGGGACUGAGACACGGCCCUUACUCCUACGGGAGGCAGCAGUGGGGAAUAUUGGACAAUGGACCAAAAGUCUGAUCCAGCAAUUCUGUGUGCACGAUGAAGUUUUUCGGAAUGUAAAGUGCUUUCAGUUGGGAAGAAGAAAGUGACGGUACCAACAGAAGAAGCGACGGCUAAAUACGUGCCAGCAGCCGCGGUAAUACGUAUGUCGCAAGCGUUAUCCGGAUUUAUUGGGCGUAAAGCGCGUCUAGGCGGUUUGGUAAGUCUGAUGUGAAAAUGCGGGGCUCAACUCCGUAUUGCGUUGGAAACUGCCAAACUAGAGUACUGGAGAGGUAGGCGGAACUACAAGUGUAGAGGCGAAAUUCGUAGAUAUUUGUAGGAAUGCCGAUGGGGAAGCCAGCCUACUGGACAGAUACUGACGCUAAAGCGCGAAAGCGUGGGUAGCAAACAGGAUUAGAUACCCUGGUAGUCCACGCCGUAAACGAUGAUUACUUGGUGUUUGGGGGUCGAACCUCAGCGCCC